UUAAUACUCCCUCCGUCUCAAAAAAUUUGUCUUAGAUUUGCCUAAAUAUGAAUGUAUCUAGUCACGUUUGAAUGUUAGAUACAUCUGUAUCUAAAUAAAUCUUGAAAAAGAAUUUUGGAACGGAGGUAGUACUCA
RNAcentral lists this microRNA precursor (135 nucleotides) under Hordeum vulgare. RNAcentral's name for it is "microRNA MIR1122". It matches the Rfam family "MIR1120/MIR1122 microRNA precursor family". Lineage: Eukaryota; Viridiplantae; Streptophyta; Magnoliopsida; Poales; Poaceae. The record is from RNAcentral.